Molecule: ribosomal RNA, 497 nt
Filed under: uncultured bacterium
Lineage: Bacteria
Description: partial 16S ribosomal RNA
Rfam family: Bacterial small subunit ribosomal RNA
Source: RNAcentral
GAUGAACGCUGGCGGCGUGCCUAAUACAUGCAAGUCGAGCGAACAGACGAGGAGCUUUCUCCUCUGACGUUAGCGGCGGACGGGUGAGUAACACGUGGAUAACCUACCUAUAAGACUGGGAUAACUUCGGGAAACCGGAGCUAAUACCGGAUAUUAUAUUUAACCGCAUGGUUCAAUAGUGUAAGACGGUUUUGCUGUCACUUUUAGAUUGAUCCGCGCCGCAUUAGCUAGUUGGUAAGGUAACGGCUUACCAAGGCAACGAUGCGUAGCCGACCUGAGAGGGUGAUCGGCCACACUGGAACUGAGACAAGGUCCAGACUCCUACGGGAGGCAGCGGUAGGGAAUCUUCCGCAAUGAGCGAAAGCCUGACGGAGCAACGCCGCGUGAGUGAUGAAGGUCUUCGGAUCGUAAAACUCUGUUAUUAGGGAAGAACAAAUGUGUAAGUAACUAUGCACGUCCUGACGGUACCUAAGCAGAAAGCCACGGCUAACUACGUG